AGUUCAGUUGGUAGAAUGCUUGCCUCACAUGUAUGAGGCCCUGGGUUCAAUCCCCAG
This 57-nucleotide transfer RNA is filed under the name Ictidomys tridecemlineatus (thirteen-lined ground squirrel). Its description in RNAcentral is "Spermophilus tridecemlineatus (thirteen-lined ground squirrel) tRNA". It matches the Rfam family "tRNA", at positions 9 to 63 of the family's 71-position model. From Rfam's summary of the family: Transfer RNA (tRNA) molecules are approximately 80 nucleotides in length. Lineage: Eukaryota; Metazoa; Chordata; Mammalia; Rodentia; Sciuridae. RNAcentral also lists the same sequence under 1 other name. The record is from Rfam by way of RNAcentral.